RNAcentral lists this long non-coding RNA (1495 nucleotides) under Oryza sativa Indica Group (long-grained rice). RNAcentral describes it as "lncRNA OsLiXu_04g0009210". The record is from RNAcentral. Lineage: Eukaryota; Viridiplantae; Streptophyta; Magnoliopsida; Poales; Poaceae.
CCCCCCGCAGCUACCACCAAAUCGGCACGCAUCUUCACCCUCGCGCCCUUCUCCUCCCUCGCCUCGCUCACCCAUCACCUCGCUCGCAGCCGAGCUGAUCCGGCCGCGGGACGGGGAGUUGAGGCCCAGCGUGGCUACGCCGCAGCCCCCUUUCCCUCGCUCCCUCGCUGGGAGCUAACCCUAGCCGCUGCCGCCGACGCCGCGAGCGCGUUUGCUGGGGGUCUACUUGAUCGCGAUUCCAGCCAAGAGCAACUACUUGGAGCUGCUUUCAUGGGAAACAUUGUUAACACUGUAAACAAGUUCUCGGGCAACAAUGCUGAUGGUGUUCCCUUCCGGAGGUGCUCUUACUUGCCAAAUAGUACUUGUGACGAGAAUGGUAGUUCAGUGACCAGAAAAUCUGCUUCUGCUACAAAUGGCAGUAUUAAUGGACAUGGUACCUUGUAUAAGGAUGUGGGUAAUGAGGAAAUGCACUUGGCUACAGACAGUACUUCUAAACCAGGGUGUCGUGAAAGAGAAACUCGGAAUGUAAUUGUCCACACCGACUCAAGACAAAAUGGGGAUGCUACUAAUUCUGACAAUGCUGUUUUAAUUUGCAAUCAGACGGCUGGUCAUAUGUCCUAUGGUUUGGAUGGGGAAAGUAAUAGAAGUUCUGGAAGCUUAGCGGCUGUGGUUUCUGAAGUUCUUGUUAGUAAAGCACCACUUGAAAAGAGAUGUCGUACUAACCUUCAGGAAACUGGAGAUUUGGAAAAUACUCCAAAUGCACAUGUGAGCAAAAGGUCGAGACUGCACAGGGUUUCUCCUGCAAACAGUCUGUUUGAUCGUGAGGCUUGUGAUGACUUAAUUGAUAGUGCUCAUAAUUUAGAUUGUAGUCGCACUCCUAAUGCUUCAGUGCAUGAUGAAACGGUACCAAAUGAAGAUAAAACACCUUGUACUUCUUUAGAUGUGAGAGGUUGUGAAGGUACCCCUAGAGCUUCCUUGAAGAGACGAGUGAUUGAACCUCCCCUGACUCGUACUAAGGCUAAGGGUAAGGCUUUAUCUCUUGCUACACCUGAAUCUCUCAAGAGAAGCACUAGAUCAGGUCGACUGAUAGGCCUUAUUCGGAGCCGCCUCCUAAGAGGAGGAAAACGCCUCGGUGUUCGUCCCCAGGACACAGAAGAUUGCUGCCAUUCUAAUGGUGAACAUAUGGUGAAAAAGAAAUUCUGACACUGUCCACUGGCAUGAUGAUAUGGUGUCCAACCCGUUGUGCAUCUGUGUGAAAGCUUUUUGUCCUUUUAACCAGCUAAGUAGAGCUAGCUUCUGUAAAAUGUAUCGUGGGUACACCAUGAUGUAUGUUUCUUUGCUAGGCUUCGAAAUGGAUGCUUGCUAAAAUAUGGCGUAGGUAUUUUGCAUACAAUAGAUGGUGUUGACACCCUGUGAACUUUGUAAGGUCACUUCCAGUUGAGAAACUAUCCUUCGUGUACCCAUAUUUCGUGCAAUGUCAUGCUGGGUUUACCUU